GACGAACGCUGGCGGCGUGCUUAACACAUGCAAGUCGAGCGGUAAGGCCCUUCGGGGUACACGAGCGGCGAACGGGUGAGUAACACGUGAGUAAUCUGCCCAUCACUUCGGGAUAACUCCGGGAAACCGGUGCUAAUACCGAAUAUGACCACUUCAGGCAUCUGAUGGUGGUGGAAAGUUCCGGCGGUGAUGGAUGAGCUCGCGGCCUAUCAGCUUGUUGGUGGGGUAGUGGCCUACCAAGGCUUCGACGGGUAGCCGGCCUGAGAGGGUGACCGGCCACACGGGGACUGAGACACGGCCCAGACUCCUACGGGAGGCAGCAGUGGGGAAUAUUGGACAAUGGGCGAAAGCCUGAUCCAGCAACGCCGCGUGAGGGAUGACGGCCUUCGGGUUGUAAACCUCUUUCAGCAGGGACGAAGCGCAAGUGACGGUACCUGCAGAAGAAGCACCGGCCAACUACGUG
RNAcentral lists this ribosomal RNA (463 nucleotides) under uncultured bacterium. RNAcentral describes it as "partial 16S ribosomal RNA". It matches the Rfam family "Bacterial small subunit ribosomal RNA", at positions 28 to 507 of the family's 1533-position model. The record is from RNAcentral.